Long non-coding RNA from Balaenoptera ricei (Rice's whale), 371 nucleotides. RefSeq lists it as uncharacterized. The record is from RefSeq and is a predicted model, not a curated record. NCBI's taxonomy places the organism in Eukaryota, Metazoa, Chordata, Mammalia, Artiodactyla, Balaenopteridae. The transcript is spliced from 3 exons.
UUCAGCAUAGAAUUAGGGCAAAGGUUGAGACAGUCCAGCUUUAGUUGACUGAAGUCCUGAGGGUCAGCAAAGAUCAGCAUCAUCAUUCCUUAGGUUUUGGGAUCUCAGCAUGGUCCUCGCCCUGUUCCCAAAACAUCAGGUGAAGGAGCUAGCCAUGUGGCUGUGCAGGGGAAGAAACUUCCAGGAACUAAGGCCACCAGACAGGUGGAGGAUGGUAACUUCAGGCUGAGCACGAGAUUCCUGGAGUACCGACAUGUUAUCUCACCACCAAUCAAUCAGAAGAAAGCCAUACACCCUGCAGCCUUCACCCCAAAUUUUGCCUAUAAAACUUCUCCCCGCAAACCAUCAGGGAGUUCAGGUUUUUUUGAGCA